AACGAACGCUGGCGGCAUGCCUAACACAUGCAAGUCGAACGAGACCUUCGGGUCUAGUGGCGCACGGGUGCGUAACGCGUGGGAACCUGCCCUUAGGUUCGGAAUAACUCCCCGAAAGGGGUGCUAAUACCGGAUAAUGUCUUCGGACCAAAGAUUUAUCGCCUUUGGAUGGGCCCUCGUUGGUUUAGAUAGUUGGUAGGGUAAAAGCCUACCAAGGCGACGUUCCAUAGCUGGUCUGAGAGGAUGAUCAGCCACACUGGGACUGAGACACGGCCCAGACUCCUACGGGAGGCAGGAGUGGGGAAUAUUGGACAAUGGGCGAAAGCCUGAUCCAGCAAUGCCGCGUGAGUGAUGAAGGCCUUAGGGUUGUAAAGCUCUUUUACCCGAGAUGAUAAUGACAGUACCGGGAGAAUAAGCUCCGGCUAACUCCGUG
This 433-nucleotide ribosomal RNA is filed under the name uncultured bacterium. Its description in RNAcentral is "partial 16S ribosomal RNA". It matches the Rfam family "Bacterial small subunit ribosomal RNA", at positions 29 to 507 of the family's 1533-position model. The record is from RNAcentral.